This 468-nucleotide ribosomal RNA is filed under the name uncultured bacterium. Its description in RNAcentral is "partial 16S ribosomal RNA". It matches the Rfam family "Bacterial small subunit ribosomal RNA", at positions 28 to 507 of the family's 1533-position model. The record is from RNAcentral.
GACGAACGCUGGCGGCGUGCUUAACACAUGCAAGUCGAACGGAAAGGCCCUGCUUUUGUGGGGUGCUCGAGUGGCGAACGGGUGAGUAACACGUGAGUAACCUGCUCUUGACUUUGGGAUAACUUCAGGAAACUGGGGCUAAUACCGGAUAGGAGCUCCUGCUGCAUGGUGGGGGUUGGAAAGUUUCGGCGGUCGGGGAUGGACUCGCGGCUUAUCAGCUUGUUGGUGGGGUAGUGGCUUACCAAGGCUUUGACGGGUAGCCGGCCUGAGAGGGUGACCGGCCACAUUGGGACUGAGAUACGGACCAGACUCCUACGGGAGGCAGCAGUGGGGAAUAUUGCACAAUGGGCGGAAGCCUGAUGCAGCAACGCCGCGUGCGGGAUGACGGCCUUCGGGUUGUAAACCGCUUUCGCCUGUGACGAAGCGUGAGUGACGGUAAUGGGUAAAGAAGCACCGGCUAACUACGUG